RNAcentral lists this ribosomal RNA (253 nucleotides) under uncultured bacterium. RNAcentral's name for it is "partial 16S ribosomal RNA". It matches the Rfam family "Bacterial small subunit ribosomal RNA", at positions 524 to 776 of the family's 1533-position model. The record is from RNAcentral.
GACAGAGGUGCCGAGCGUUAGGCGGAAUCACUGGGCUUAAAGCGUGUGUAGGCGGAUCUGUAUGUACCUUGUGAAAUCCCACGGCUCAACCGUGGAACUGCUUGGUAUACUGCGGGUCUUGAGCCACCUAGGGGCAAGUGGAACAAACGGUGGAGCGGUGAAAUGCGUAGAUAUUGGGAAGAACACCGGUGGCGAAGGCGGCUCACUGGCUCAUUACUGACGCUCAGGCGCGAUAGCGUGGGGAUCAAACAGG